This 376-nucleotide ribosomal RNA is filed under the name Escherichia coli. Its description in RNAcentral is "bacterial SSU rRNA". It matches the Rfam family "Bacterial small subunit ribosomal RNA", at positions 272 to 640 of the family's 1533-position model. Lineage: Bacteria; Pseudomonadati; Pseudomonadota; Gammaproteobacteria; Enterobacterales; Enterobacteriaceae. The record is from RNAcentral.
GGCGACGAUCCCUAGCUGGUCUGAGAGGAUGACCAGCCACACUGGAACUGAGACACGGUCCAGACUCCUACGGGAGGCAGCAGUGGGGAAUAUUGCACAAUGGGCGCAAGCCUGAUGCAGCCAUGCCGCGUGUAUGAAGAAGGCCUUCGGGUUGUAAAGUACUUUCAGCGGGGAGGAAGGGAGUAAAGUUAAUACCUUUGCUCAUUGACGUUACCCGCAGAAGAAGCACCGGCUAACUCCGUGCCAGCAGCCGCGGUAAUACGGAGGGUGCAAGCGUUAAUCGGAAUUACUGGGCGUAAAGCGCACGCAGGCGGUUUGUUAAGUCAGAUGUGAAAUCCCCGGGCUCAACCUGGGAACUGCAUCUGAUACUGGCAAG